CGCCGCGUGAAGGAUGAAAUCCCUCGGGAUGUAAACUUCGCAAGAACAGGAAGAAUAAGUCGGUGUAAAUACCACCGACGAUGACGGUACUGUUUGUAAGCUCCGGCUAACUCCGUGCCAGCAGCCGCGGUAAUACUUAGGGUGCCCGCAG
RNAcentral lists this ribosomal RNA (151 nucleotides) under uncultured bacterium. RNAcentral's name for it is "partial 16S ribosomal RNA". It matches the Rfam family "Bacterial small subunit ribosomal RNA", at positions 395 to 539 of the family's 1533-position model. The record is from RNAcentral.